UCAUCCUCCACGACAUCCUACCCUCCACAGACCAGAAAACACCUCUCAUAGGGACGUUCUGCACUGGGGUGUUCAUGUUUGUGGGCUGCAGCAUCGUGGAGACCAUCACAGUCAGCUUCCUGAUGCGGCUGGCCUCAAAGUGGGACACACACACACGCACGCCAGCUGGGAGCGGAGGAGUUGGUCUCUCCAUGGAGGAGAAGGAGGAGGAGAAGAAGGAGGAGAAGAAGGAGGAGGAGGAGGAGGAGGAGGGUAAGCCGUCCGGGUCUCAGUUGUGUCUCAUCCUGCGAGAGCUGCGGGCGUUGCGACUGCACGUCUGCCCUGGUCACCGAGAGCAUCCUGGGAAGACUGGCCUGUACCUGAAGACAGCAGCCAAGUGCAUCAACGCCGUCUACUUCCUGCUAUACAUCUGUGCGGUCGCUGUGUUCCUAGCGGAGAUCGCUAAAGAGUGGCUUCACUAGCUGCAUGUGGGAAUGAAUCACAGCAGGUGGCUAAAAAUAAACAAAUCCACAAUCCUGAUGUAGAAAACAACAAGUAGAGCAAGAUGAAGGCCAUGGGUUUUUAGUCUGAUAUACUGUAAUCCUGUACUGUGUGUGUAAUCCUGUACUGUGUGUGUAAUCCUGUACUGUGUGUGUAACCCUGUAGUUUAAUCCUGUACUGUGUGUGUAAUCCUGUACUGUGUGUGUAACCCUGUAGUUUAAUCCUGUACUGUGUGUGUAAUCCUGUACUGUGUUUUAAUCCUGUACUGUGUGUGUAAUCCUGUACUGUGUGUGUAACCCUGUAGUUUAAUCCUGUACUGUGUGUGUAAUCCUGUACUGUGUGUGUAAUCCUGUACUGUGUGUGUAACCCUGUAGUUUAAUCCUGCACUGUGUGUGUAAUCCUGUACUGUAAUCCUGUACUGUAAUCCUGUAAGAGCGUGACCUUUCAGGGUUAUUUCAAUCAAUAUUUUUGUUUGUGAUUGAAUAUGAAGUUGCAACUUCUAACUGUUUUGAUCAGUCUGCAGACCUUAUUCGUAAUUGGCAAUCGCGAUGACAUCGUUGAUUUUUUCAAUAGGGUGCUGCGCUGCGUUCAAUGCCUACAGCAAGACCCAGGAGAGGAGAGAUUUUUUAGAGAGCUUGAUGACCACACCAUUACCCUAAAUUCUAUGUUGUCUAUGGUUCAUUCUAGGGAAGGACCUGAUGGAGAGACUGUUGUUUUUUUUGGAGUCGAUAUGUUUUUGUUUUAAUAGGUUUGGUAACUUUAGAACUAGAAGAAGAGAUCAAGAAAACUGCCCUCCUCCUGUUCCACCUACAGCCAGAAAUGGCCUUCCAUGUCGCCCAC
Clupea harengus (Atlantic herring) is the source of this 1320-nucleotide long non-coding RNA. The record is from Ensembl. NCBI's taxonomy places the organism in Eukaryota, Metazoa, Chordata, Actinopteri, Clupeiformes, Clupeidae.